Helianthus annuus (common sunflower) is the source of this 3275-nucleotide long non-coding RNA. RefSeq lists it as uncharacterized. The record is from RefSeq and is a predicted model, not a curated record. NCBI's taxonomy places the organism in Eukaryota, Viridiplantae, Streptophyta, Magnoliopsida, Asterales, Asteraceae. The transcript has 7 exons.
UUAAGCGCCAAACACCUUCUAACAGUUUCUUUUCUCCAAUUCUCCUUUCUCACUACGCUACCUUCAUACACGCUCUCUCUAUCUCUCCAAUCAAUUCAGUGUUGCCAAAAUUAUGAAUCCGUUUCUAUUUCAAAUGAAAAAACCCUAAAUGUUAAGAAUCAUCUACAUUCGUGAAAGUAACUCACCGGAUUUCUCUCUGCCGAUCUAGGGUUUAACAGUGAUUCCAGGUAUGUAUCAAAAAUGUCUAUCUCAGAUUUGAAUUUCGAAAUAUCAAACUUAUGAUGCAUCUUUUUAAGGAUUUUAGGGUUUUUUUUCAUUCAACUAUAUACAUCAUAUUCUCAGUCAAUCAAGGUAUGUGUUUUUGUUGUUUGUGGAUUGAAUGCAUUUACGUGAAGGGAGUUAAAGCCCUAACUUAAUUUCUAUUCUAUUGUUGUAAUUUUUUUUGUUUGUGAAGUCAAAAUUAAGAGGAUAUGAAGAAGAAGCAGGCGCAAUCAGUAGCGGCUAGCCCACAACCAUCGUAGUGGGUAGACAACCAACCUAAAAAUAUCAAAUUGAACAACAAAUCGGUAUCGGGAUCUGCCGUCAGGUGACCUUUAAUUUGAUUUUAAUUUAUCUAAUCGUUUUUUUCUUGAUUUGAUUCCAUUUAGUAAUUGAAAAUCAGCGAUUCGUUUGAAAAAAAAAAUAGGUUUUAGGUUAAAUUUACAUGUAAUAUAUUUUAGUAGUUUUGGGGCUGAUUUAAAUAUGAAUUAAAAAAGCAUAUUUGAUCCGCCAGAUUUAUGUUCUUACUUAUUGACUAAAAACAUCAAUGGAUAAUUGAUGGUGGUGAAACGAACAGUUUCACCAUAUUUAUGUUCUUAAUUCUUAUUUGUUUAGAAGAGCUUAUUACAGAAAAAAUGUCUUUUAUGAGUUAGGCAUGACAAAAGGGUUGAAGAGAGUUGUUCAUUCAAGUUCUUAAUUAAUGGAUACUAAUUCAUGAAUUGCAGGUUUUACGCCUUCUUUCUUUUUAAAUGAAAUUAUUGACGAAUGAAUGAUUUGUCCAGAAUAUAGUCUCUAUUUAUAUGUUUCAAAGCAGGUGUUGACUAUUAUACCAUCAUAUCGAAUCGAGUGCAUUACAAUGGAGGGAAGUUGAUUUGUAUGCAUAAGUCUGAUCCAUAUUGUCACAGUUCAUAAUUAGAACAUAAUUUGUGUGCUCAUUCAGGUUAUCACUAAAUUGUAUUUUUAUUAUUACAGGAGAUUGUUCCGGUCGAUGUGGUAUACGAAACUUUGAAAUGUACAAAAGGGGGAUUGACGACUGAAGAAGGGAGCAGGAGGCUUGCUGCUUUUGGCCCUAACAAGCUAGAGAGAAGCAUGAAAGUAAGCUUCUUAAGUUCUUAGGGUUCAUGUGGAAUAUAUUGUCAUGGGUCAUGGAAGCCUCUGCAAUCAUGUCUAUCGUCUUGGCCAGUGGAGGGGUAUCUCUCUUUCUCAAAUCGAAAAUAAUUUAAAUAUAAGUAAUGGUAUCAUACGGAUCCAAAUAAACUCAUUGCGAAGCAAUUAGAUCUUCGUUUUAGAGUUUACAUGUGUUGAUUUGGUUUUCGUUCGUUAUCACCUAAGGUUUCUUGAUCUUGGAUCUGUUAUAUUUCUGAUAAUCAAAUGUCGUCUACACCAAGGUAUGAUUCUGUUAUUUCUCUAUUGUUCAGAUUUUGAUGCUAAUAUACUUUAGGUGAUGAAUCUGAAUGUAACUGAAGCAUAAGAUGGUUCAGAUCUAAAAAAAAUGGGGUGACCGGAGAAGACGAUGGUCAAAAGGGUUCGUCCAGAUUUGAUUUUCUACGGCGGUUUAGCGUUCGAUUCACCUGAUGACGGAGAACGUUGGUCCUGUGACGGCUAGGGUUCUGCUGCGGACCCGAUAAUGGUGAUGAUCAGAGGUUAUCGGGCGGCUUAAGGCCCACAACCUUGGCGGUGCAAGCGUUCAGCAGCUGCACCAACUAGAGAAACAACUAACUGAUGGCUUAGUUUUAAUCAAAGAAAAGAAGGAUGCUAUGCUGUUUGAGGAGAUUGAACAUUCAAAUCGCAAAGGAACGAGAACUUGCUUAUGAAACCGAUGUACUUCAAGGAGAGAUGGAAAACUUAAAGCGCUUCGUACCGUUGACUCGACAACCUGGUCAACUUGGUUUCCUAGAAUACACUCCUGCUGUUGUUCCAAGUAGCGGUGCUGCCCACUCGAAGCAUGACCGGGUUAGGCCGGAUACCGUAUGCUACUAUGGAUCCGAUAACACCGAUUCAGAAACAGCACUUCAGUUUAGUUAUGCAAAACUGGAAGUGGGUCAAAACUGGCUGCCUUACGGUGACCAUUCGAGAAAGGAGGCAACAGUGUUGCCAAAGAGGGAUACCAAUUCAAGUAGUUGUGAAGUGAUGAGAUGGAACAAUGAUCAUUGGACGUUUUGGGGAUUGAUGGAUUCAUGUUGGAAGCUUUGUCAAGAGCAGGAUUUCUUUCAUUAUCAUUCUGACAUUCAUUUUUGAACCAUAUGAACCAUGUUUGAACAAGGGGAGGACGGUAUUUGUUCCACAUGUUACCUACCAUGAUGCCAUUAAAGGUUUCAAGAAGGUUGGUGUUAUUGGAUUGGGUCCCAGAUUUAUAAUUUCAUUGCUUAAAUUCAUUAGUUUUUGUUUUUCUAUUUAGAUAGUAGACUGAUUUAGUUGAUAACUAAAAACGUUAUGAUCAACUCUUUUCUACCAAUAUAGUGUAUUGGUACAGACACGAUCUGGUUAGAGAUGUGUUGUUUGACGUUCUCAAGCGAGCUGGUAUCGCUGCUAAAAAAGAGGCUCCGGUUAAUUUCCUAACGGACCCGAAGGAGGGGAGGUCUUCCCUUCGACCAGCCGAUGUGCUGGUUUUUGGAUGGUCCGGGGGUAAGCAUGCUUGCAUUGAUCUCACGGGGGUGUCGCCUCUUGCCGGUUUCAGGGGCAGUGGUUUUGUUUCAGGGCAAGCGGCGCAGAAGGCUGAGGCGGGGAAAAUAUCCAAGCACGAGCAGGCCUGCAUAGAUAAUCAACAUGCCUUCCUUCCUUUCGCGUUCGAUACCUUUGGUUGUCUGGCCCCUGUGGCGUCCGGAUUCUUGAAGCGGUUCAAAAGGCAGCACUUGCACAUGCGACAGUGUCUGUAGGCCAUAGUUAUGUGUUUAGCCGAGUAGGAUUUGCAAUUCAAAAGGGGGUGGCGGCGCAGCUUGUUGCCCGUCUACCAACCCAUGAUUUGUAAUUUGCUCUAACCUUCUAAUAAAAAUCUAUUAAUCAAAAAAAAAAAAAAA